RNAcentral lists this ribosomal RNA (468 nucleotides) under uncultured bacterium. RNAcentral's name for it is "partial 16S ribosomal RNA". It matches the Rfam family "Bacterial small subunit ribosomal RNA", at positions 28 to 507 of the family's 1533-position model. The record is from RNAcentral.
GACGAACGCUGGCGGCGUGCUUAACACAUGCAAGUCGAACGGAAAGGCCCUGCUUUUGUGGGGUGCUCGAGUGGCGAACGGGUGAGUAACACGUGAGUAACCUGCCCUUGACUUUGGGAUAACUUCAGGAAACUGAGGCUAAUACCGGAUAGGAGCUCCUGUUGCAUGGUGGGGGUUGGAAAGUUUCGGCGGUUGGGGAUGGACUCGCGGCUUAUCAGCUUGUUGGUGGGGUAGUGGCUUACCAAGGCUUUGACGGGUAGCCGGCCUGAGAGGGUGACCGGCCACAUUGGGACUGAGAUACGGCCCAGACUCCUACGGGAGGCAGCAGUGGGGAAUAUUGCACAAUGGGCGGAAGCCUGAUGCAGCAACGCCGCGUGCGGGAUGACGGCCUUCGGGUUGUAAACCGCUUUCGCCUGUGACGAAGCGUGAGUGACGGUAAUGGGUGAAGAAGCACCGGCUAACUACGUG